The sequence is an RNase P RNA, 388 nucleotides long. It matches the Rfam family "Bacterial RNase P class A". Rfam says of the family: Ribonuclease P (RNase P) is a ubiquitous endoribonuclease, found in archaea, bacteria and eukarya as well as chloroplasts and mitochondria. Its best characterised activity is the generation of mature 5'-ends of tRNAs by cleaving the 5'-leader elements of precursor-tRNAs.
GCUUUAGCGCAGACGGUCGCCGGUCGCGCCUCCUCGGAGGGGCGGCGGGAGGAAAGUCCGGGCAUCACAGGGCAGGGUGGUCGGUAACACCGACCGGGGGCGACCCCAGGGAGAGUGCCACAGAGAGAUACCGCCGCGCGCCUUAGCGCGGUAAGGGUGAAAAGGUGAGGUAAGAGCUCACCGGGGCGGCGGUGACGUCGCUCGUCCAGGUAAACCCCACCCGAUGCAAGGUAAACAGAGGCUGAGCGCCCUUUUGGAGCGCUCCGGGGUGCCCGCCCCGCGGCCUCAGGUAACCGCUUGAGCCUUAUGGCAACGUAAGGCCUAGAUGAAUGACCGUCACCGCGCCUUGAGCGCGGGACAAAACCCGGCUUAUCGCGCUAAAGCGAGA